Long non-coding RNA from Micropterus dolomieu (smallmouth bass), 512 nucleotides. RefSeq lists it as uncharacterized. The transcript is spliced from 2 exons. The record is from RefSeq and is a predicted model, not a curated record. NCBI's taxonomy places the organism in Eukaryota, Metazoa, Chordata, Actinopteri, Centrarchiformes, Centrarchidae.
AUGAAAACGCCCCCUUGGAGGGCAAAAAGACGUUAAUUUCCGCUGCCUGCCAACAAAUAUGCUGGAUGGUUGUUGUGCUUUGGGAUUUACUAAUCGAGGAGACGAGCCUGGGCUGUGUGAGCUGUUUGAUGGAGUGCUGCAGGGUCAGGAUGUGGUUGAACAGCGGAUUCUGCAGAGUCUCCCUCAGGUUUCCCAUCGUCUCACUGUGGGUCCACUCCUCCCUCUGGGCCAGUUUGGCCUGCAGACGCUCCAGAGCUCCCAGAACCUGCUGACGCUCCGCUGUGGACACUGAGGACGAGCACAGGACGUAGAGUCGUCAGUCUGAACCUGAUAAUAUCUGCAAAUGUUGAAUGAACAGCUGAGAGGAUUUACCUGCCGGGACAUUUUCAAACAUCGUCGUCCCUCGCUCUCCGUCUGACGUUCUCGAUCACUGAUCUGAACAGACAGAACAUUAUUUGGUUAAAACUAUGAAACUCUGAUAUUAAGGUUAAUAAAAAACCUAUAUAACAUCA